RNAcentral lists this long non-coding RNA (5590 nucleotides) under Sus scrofa (pig). RNAcentral describes it as "lncRNA (ENSSSCG00000059065.1)". Lineage: Eukaryota; Metazoa; Chordata; Mammalia; Artiodactyla; Suidae. The record is from RNAcentral.
AGAACUCCAAGCUCCAGUCUUUAUCUGGAGGUCCAGUUUGUCUGAAAGGCAAAGUGGCCUAAAUAAAGGGUCUACAUUAAUUCAUGGAAGUAGCUAUUAGAAUAACCAGAUGGUCAGGGGCUUAACAUGAACAAAAUUGAAGGAUUGAUAACAAGUGGUUUGGGAAAGAGGAAUUUGGAUGGACUUCUCAGAAUAGUCUCAAAUGUAUGGAUAUUUAUGUCUUGUGUGAAUUCUCCUUACUGCAGAGGUGGUUCUCAAUCAAACAGACAAAAUAACCCAUGUAGUUAAUGUCAAUCAACUUCUAUCCCCAGCUACUUCAGAAGUCCUUUAAAAUAACUCUUGAAAAAAUUGUCUUGGUGGCAGGAAUGGAGAUUAUGUACAUGCUCAGUUAUAUAGACUUUCCUUCCCCAAGAUAUUUCUAGCAUCACUGGGUGUCCACAGUCAGUCUAUAGUAGUGAUCAAUCCUUGGCCCUCUCUGUACCUAGGAGGAUCCAUCAGCUACCUGCCAUCAUGGUGAGGAGGGUCUGUGAAAUAGAGAGUUGUCUCCAUUGAAAAGAUGUAUUGGAUAUGGAUUUUCCUUCAGUGCUUACCAUGCUUCUGCCAGCAUCACGGUCCAUGAGCUUACUGCAUACCCUAGUCACUCUCAUGAUUUGCCGUAUCAAUGGGCUGACAUUUCCAGGAUUCCCUCUUAUCACUCAGCAUAUUACCCUCAAAUCUCUACCUCUAGUUUCCACUUCUAGUUUUCAACCCAUUUUCAAUAUCAUAUUUUUAUGUUUUGGCUCCUGCAGUUCCAUCUGCCUUCACUGUCUUUAUUCCUUAUCAAAAUUUAUAUAUCUUUUGAGAUCCAUUCAACCAUCACACUGGCUUCAUUGAUUUCCUUUGGAAAAUUUCCCCUAACUUUCUACUGAUACUUAGCCAAUGUUUUGUUAUAGUCCAUAACAUACUUGUCUUAUUACUUUAUAGAACUGGAAGUAUCACAUGGACAGGAACUGUACCUUACUCUCCUUUACAUAAUUUGUUGAUCCUUGAACCCAGUAGGUAAUCAAUAAGUAUUUAUUAAAUUUAAUAAAUUUAAUUGUAUCAGUAGCAAAGAGCUUUGUAAUAAUGCCUAGAUGGGUAUUAAGAGAAAGAAGACAACAAUGUGUUGCCCUAGUAUAAUAUUUUUUCAACCAAUGUUUAUUAGGUAGAUAUAUAUAUAUGUGUGCAUAUAUAUAUAAUGGAAAGGAGAUGGUCACCCUUUCUUGAUUUCAUCUACCAAAAGUUGUAGGGAGGCAUGAAAAAAUGGUAAUAGAAACCUUUCAUUAUUAAAGUGACUAAGAUUCUCUAUGUGAGGGAGAAAAUAUGUGCAGACAGCAUUUGCAAACACUUUAUUUCAAGCCUCAGACAAAGGCAUGGAGUUGAAAGGAUGCAUUUUAUUCCAAAAUUUGAGUCAAUAUCUAACAUGUGAAUAUUCAGAAAACAUACUUUUAUUCCUUUGGUCAUAUGAGAAGUUUGUUAUUGUAGUUUAAUAGACAAUGUAUAGGUUCUGUGUUCCAGCAAAAUUAGAAUGAGGAGGCUUUUUGUCUGUGUUUAUAUCAGCCAUGGGUAGAAAAUGAGGAUGUGAUAUAGAAUAAACAAAUUCUUUCACUACCUCAGCCUUUGAUUUCUGAUAUUUUAAUCACUUCUUAUUUUUGUGAAUCGUCAGAGUUUAUGUGAAAAUAACCUGUUUAAAUGUUUUUGUUCUUGAAUUGAAUGUAAGUAGAAAGUAGAAACCUUUGAACAUCAGAAUUUAAUCAAAAAUAAAAACUUAAGGAGUUCCCGUCAUGGUGCAGUGGAAACGAAUCCAACUAGGAACCAUGAGGUUGCGGGUUUGACCCCUGGCCUCGCUCAGUGGGUUAAGGAUGUGGCGUUGCCGUGAGCUGUGGUGUAGGUUGCAGACGCGGCUUGGAUCCCGCGUUGCCGUGGUUCUGGUGUAGGCCGGCGGCUACAGCUCUGAUUAGACCUCUAGCCUGGGAACCUCCAUAUGCCACGGGUGUGGCCCUGGAAAAGACAAAAAAGAGAUAAAAAACCCCCAAAAACAUAAAACUUAAGCUGUCUAGAAUAUACCAUAGACUUAGAGUAGUGUGCAUUAUGGUGCCGCUUUCUUCGAAUAUGUCAAAAUUCACUCAUUAUACUUUCUUUGCUUUAGAGAAUAUCUGAAAGCAAACUGAUUCAGUCACAUGAUUUCAUCCAAGCAAUAUACAGCUUCAAGUUAGCAGAGGGUGGAUCCCUUCUAAAUGUAUAAGCAUGGCUAUUGGAUAUUAUUUGAUGAAUGAGGAAUCAUGAAUGGUAUUCAACUACAUCAUAGAUGCAUUUCAGCUGAAUGGCCUAUGGAGAGAAUAUGUCUAAAGUUAGUUUCAAGGUGCCGAUGAAGUAUUAGACUGCAUAAAUGAUAUCCAGUUUCCAUGGGGAUUAGAGAAAAUCAUGUUCUAAGGGUGAUCACCCACAUUUAUGAUUCAUAUCUUUUCCUAAAUGCAGAAUUUUAUUUGAGCAGAAAGGCAGAAAAAUAAUAACAUAGUAGUACAUUUGCUACUUAGAUGCAAGGGGGUGAACAGUUUCAAGACAAUUCAAUUUUGUUGGUUCCUCAGCCAGAUUGGUUGAUGGAUGAUUAGCACUGUUCUUAUUAUUCAUAAAUUGACUGGCACAAAUGCACAUUUCAUUAGCUGAGAUUACCCACUGACAUCUAUUGCAUUAACUGGUGGAUAAUUGCUUCUAUUUAUAGGUUAAGGUGAAGGUGUUCUGGGAAAAAUUUGUUUCUUUUUUACCCAUCAAAUUAGAAAGUGAAACUCUGAAUCAAAUACUCAUUUGAAAGAUACUAUUGAACAAGCUGAGAUUUAACUCAGUGCCCUAAAAUUUAUCUCUGAUUUAAUUUUUUUAUGAGGCUUACCUUUUUGGCCAUGUUUCAUCUUUAUCAUACAUGAUUAGGAUAAACUGUUAUUAUGCGUAUAAUGCAGUGAGAAAUGUAGUGAAGAUUCAGUACUAUGAAAUAUGCUUUAAGGGAAAGUAGGGGAUGCAGAUAUUUAUUAACCAUAUUGUUGGUCCAGAGCGGCUGAAUUUCCUGAGAUAGCGGGUUGGAUUUUCAUCUGGCUGGUCAUAAGCUUAUCUGUGCCUGUUAGAUUCACUAUUAGAUCAUAGGACUAUUGAAAUAUCAUCAUGGUUUUAAUUUCUACAUUUCUCAUUCAUCAUUCCUCAUCACCAUUACCAAAUGUUGACUAAGGCCUUAUAUCUAGUUCUGAAAGAUACCAUAUAAAACACAUUGUCUCUGUUCUUCAGAAGCAUAGAUAGGGAGACAAGAUAUGUGUAAAAAUAUGACAAUCGUUAGCAGUAUAAAAAUUGCCAAUCAAGUGUAUAAAUGUAAGAGCUCUAGUAACCCUGGACUCCAGGUUGAGUUGAAACUCUGGCCAGGUCCCUUGAAAGGAGGUACAAUGGGCAAAUUGGCAAAAGAUUUUGAAAAAAAUAAAAUAAAAUAAAAAGGAGUUCCUGUCGUGGCUCAGCAGUUAACGAACCCGACUAGCAUCCAUGAGGAUGAGGGUUCGAUAUCUGGCCUUGCUCGGUGGGUUAUGGAUCUGGUGUCAUGGUGAGCUGUGAUAUAGCUGGCAGACAUGGCUAGGAUGCCGUGCUUUGCUGUGGCUCUGGCGUAGGCUGGCAGCCACAGCUGCCAUUCGAUCCCUAGCCUGGGAACCUCCACAUGCCGCAGGUGUGGCCCUAGAAAGACAAAAAGACGAAAAGACAAAAAAAAAAAAAAAGAUUUUGGCAAGAUAAGUACAAAUGAUUUACUGCUCCUGGAAAAUAGAUCAAAGGGCAUGCCCAAAUAAGAAUGGGUGACUUGUAUUUUCUUUGUAUCUUGGGUAUGAAAAAGAAAUAUUAUUAGGUGACAUCACAGAAUGCACAACUUCCCUUUAUCAAAUUUCUAGACUUUAAAAAUGAAUUGCUCAUUGCCAUUUAUUAUCUGUUUUAAUCUUUUUAAAAGUAUAAUCACUUCCUUUCAUCUUUUCCCCCUCAUUGAUUUUAUACAGUUUCUUUGAUGAGUUUGACACAAAGUCUCAUGGUUUGCUUUCACUAUUUUUCCUCAUUUUCUUGAAAUUGCUUGACACUUAAAAUGCUAUUGGUCUGCUUCAUUAUGUAGUUUGUCAUUUUUUGCUUCAAAAUUUUCUAAACAUUUUAGACCUUAUAAUCCAUAUCCUCUGGGGAGAACAAGAGGCCUCAAUUUAAGAGUUGCCUGGAAAGGCAGAACCUGAGUCCUUUAUCAUAGGUUCUUCCAUAAAGGGCCUAGAUCCCGACUUACUCUAAGGCUAAUUCAGUUCUCCCUAGCUGGCAUACUCCUCUCUUCACUUUCUGGCAUUGAACUUAAAUUGGCUUCUCUUUCCCACAUCCCCAAAUUUACUUCAGUUCCUGCUUGUUCCUCCCUCUGUCAAAAAUUCUCAUACAUAUUUGACUUUUACUGACACCUUUGUGACUGCUUUUGUGAGAAUUUAAUGACUUUUCAUGCUCUAAAUGGCUGCUAGAUUAUUUUCCUCUUAGGAUUUGAUAUCCAUGACAAAGAAACAUGCCUUUGGAACACAGUGAAUUUAGACAGAAUUUUAUGGUAGUAAAAUCAAAAUAAGUUAAGAUUCUGAAGUGACUUCUCGCCACUCAAAUUAGUUGUUAGUGUGACACCAAACAUGGUGUGUUUACUCCUAAUAAGAGGAUGGAUUUUCCAUUUUGAAUUGCUAUAGAUCCACAAAUAUUUGUGGGUGUCAAAAAGGCAUUGAUUAAAAAAAACAACUAUGCACAGUCAACGCACUAGAUUCACAAAGCCGAUUAAAAUACAAGUGCCUGUAAAAUGUGUGCCUGUUUUUCCCAAGUGCAUAGAAGAAUGAGAAUGUCAAUUUUUAGCCAAAUUAAUAUAGAGUGUAUGAGUGAGAUAGUAGUGGUAGUUUGGGAAUGAGUUGAAAAGGGAACUAAAGUAGCAUAUGGUUAUUGAGUACUCAAAAUUAAAACUUAUUAAAUACUAGUCAAAUAUAUUUAAAGUAUUCAAUCAUUGUCUCAGAUAAAAGGUGUGAGGAGUUGAAUGGCUUAUCAAAAUGUUAUUAGGACUUAGUAAAUAAUGAUAAAAUGUUAGUAGCAGCAGCAGCAAAUAUUUUGUGCUGACAAAUUGACAUUCACAUUUUAUGCUGAGAAUCUUGUUCUAAACAUUAGCUACAAUUUUUGCCUGUGAUGCCUUUGUUGACACUAAUGAGAAUGUAAUUGUUUUAAAAGUAAUUCAACUCUAGGACUUCUUGAAUUCUAAAUAUAAAAUGAUUUCUAAAUUUAAUGUUCUUAAAUAUUAUAACAGCUAUCUUUGCUAAUUUGUCAUGUACCAACUAUGAAGUAUAAAGGCAAUGGUGGGAGUUCCCAUUGUGGCACAGCGGAAAUGAAUCCGACUAGGAACCAUGAAGUUGCUGGUUUGAUCCCUGGCCUCACUCAGUGGGUUAAAGAUCCAGCGUUGCCAUGAGCUGUGGUGUAGGUUGCAGACGCGGCUUGGAUCCUGCGUUGCUGUGGCUGUGGUGUAGGCUGGCAGCUGUGGCUCUGAUUAGACCCUUAGCCUGGGAAC